AACGUACGCUGGCGGCACGCCUAACACAUGCAAGUCGAACGAAGUAGCAAUACUUAGUGGCAGACGGGUGAGUAACAUGUAGGUAUCUGCCCUCUGGCCUGGAAUAACACGAGGAAACUUGUGCUAAUACCGGAUAAAAAAAAACAGAGAAAGCUUUAUGCACCAUUGGAUGAGCCUGCACUUGAUUAGUUUGUUGGUAGGGUAAUGGCCUACCAAGACUGUGAUCAAUAGCUGAUUUGAGAGGAUGAUCAGCCACAUUGGGACUGAGACACGGCCCAAACUCCUACGGGAGGCAGCAGUGGGGAAUCUUGCACAAUGGAGGAAACUCUGAUGCAGCGAUGCCGCGUGAGUGAAGAAGGCCUUUGGGGAGUAAAGCUCUUUCGUCGGGGAAGAAAAUGACUGUACCCGAAUAAGAAGGUCCGGCUAACUUCGUGCCUU
Molecule: ribosomal RNA, 438 nt
Filed under: uncultured bacterium
Lineage: Bacteria
Description: bacterial SSU rRNA
Rfam family: Bacterial small subunit ribosomal RNA
Source: RNAcentral